GCGCCGUUAGCUCAAUUGGCAGAGCAGCGGACUCUUAAUCCGCGGGUUCGGGGUUCAAGUCCCUGACGGCGCACC
Molecule: transfer RNA, 75 nt
Filed under: Mycobacterium tuberculosis
Lineage: Bacteria; Bacillati; Actinomycetota; Actinomycetes; Mycobacteriales; Mycobacteriaceae
Also listed under: 20 other names
Description: tRNA-Lys(ctt)
Rfam family: tRNA
About the family: Transfer RNA (tRNA) molecules are approximately 80 nucleotides in length. Their secondary structure includes four short double-helical elements and three loops (D, anti-codon, and T loops). Further hydrogen bonds mediate the characteristic L-shaped molecular structure. tRNAs have two regions of fundamental functional importance: the anti-codon, which is responsible for specific mRNA codon recognition, and the 3' end, to which the tRNAs corresponding amino acid is attached (by aminoacyl-tRNA synthetases). tRNAs cope with the degeneracy of the genetic code in two manners: having more than one tRNA (with a specific anti-codon) for a particular amino acid; and 'wobble' base-pairing, i.e. permitting non-standard base-pairing at the 3rd anti-codon position.
Source: RNAcentral